GGUCUCGAAAAUCUUCAACCCUCUUCUUCUCCGCUUCUCUCUCUCUCUCUCUCUCUCUCUCUCUCUUCCCCGUUUUUUGUGUUGAAUUGGAAUUGCAGACAAGAAAUGGUGGAGUUUGGGGAUGAGUUGAUCAUAGAAAGCUACAAAGUUCCAUGGCUGAUAUGGAUCCAACUACUUAUUACGUUUCUGCUCAUCAUUCUCCUCUUUUCUGGGUUCAGUGUCUUUACCUCAGACCCCUCAUCCAGCUCCUCCGCCGCUUCGCCAUCAACUGGCGCCGCCGCUGCCUCACUAACCCAUCUCAACAAACCCAGUUCUUCCAACAGAAGAACCAAGCUGGAGGACCAGGGGGGUAGGAGGGAUGAAGAAACUAGUGGAGUGUUGAUCCAAGAAGACGGCCAAAACGGAGACGAAUCCUCUUCGAAGGAUUCUAUGAUUUUCAGAAUUUUCCGACAUCCAAACCAUCCUUGCAAUUAUUUUGGGCUAGCCAAACAAGCGCUUCUCAAGUGUUUAGGCUUGGAUUCCACCUCCGAGCACUCCAGCAGACAUCAACACGACAAACAAGAAUAAUGCACAGACUGUAGUGACACUCCUGGGCCGAUGAUUAGAUGAGGAGAGUGAAAGUCAGGAGUCGCCGACUGCUGAAUUAGGUCUUAAAAUCUUGUGUAAAUAAUGACCCUAUGAUGUGUGUAGUAACAGCAAGUUAGUAGAUUGAUGUCAAAUGUAACUAAAUAUCCACUAAUUGUCAUGGGCUCCAAUUCUUUGAUAGUUGAGCAGCUUAUGCUUUUUUGCACUUGUAGAUAACUAUAUGACUCUUGUUCUCUUCU
Sesamum indicum (sesame) is the source of this 824-nucleotide long non-coding RNA. RefSeq lists it as uncharacterized. The record is from RefSeq and is a predicted model, not a curated record. Lineage: Eukaryota; Viridiplantae; Streptophyta; Magnoliopsida; Lamiales; Pedaliaceae.